UUCUUUUUUCUUUUUUUUGAAAAAACUCUCUUUCAAUAUUUUGUACUUGAACUUUGAAACUUUUUUGCCACAUCCGCAUACACAAAUCGUUUAAUACAUUUAAUCAUGCACGUUCAACAACAACAAACAAAAAUUCACCCAUAGGGAGGAAUAGGGAUAUCUGAACUCCGCAAACGCAAAAGACGAGCACCGUGAAAUGCUUCAAAACAAAAUGUCCCAUGUUGUGUCAUUGACGAUGCAUAUACCAUCUACAGUUCCUGCAAAUUACCGCGACCUUGUUAAGUUUGCCCCAAUGGCAAUUUGUACCGAACUUGCAACGCUUCGCCACAAAACAUUAGGCGUCACCUCAACUGCUCAGGAACCCAACACAGGGUUCUUCCUAUUAUUAUUGCUAUAUAUAUCUCUGUGCGCAAUCGGCCCAAGCAGUUGUUGGCAGAUGAAGGCAGUACUCAUUACAUUAAGUAUGCUGAUAGCUCACACAAUUACUCCCUCCGUUCCGAAUUACUUGUCUUAGAUUUGUCUAGAUACGGAGGUAUCUAGCACUAAAAUGAGUCUAGAUACAUCCGUAUCUAGACAAAUCCAAGACAAGUAAUUUGGAACGGAGGGAGUAGCUUCUAUCAGUUGAUGAAGACCAACCACUGAUUGCAUGUCUACUGCAACACAUCUUGGGGCAUAUAAUCACAGAUGUCACCAACUUCCUACGGUCAGAGGGGAGCUUAAUGGGAGUUCAGCUGCAGGCGCCUCCAGUGUCACCU
RNAcentral lists this long non-coding RNA (755 nucleotides) under Triticum aestivum (bread wheat). RNAcentral's name for it is "long non-coding RNA (TAES_LNC001118)". The stretch from base 480 to 614 matches the Rfam family "MIR1120/MIR1122 microRNA precursor family". The record is from RNAcentral. Lineage: Eukaryota; Viridiplantae; Streptophyta; Magnoliopsida; Poales; Poaceae.